This 292-nucleotide ribosomal RNA is filed under the name uncultured Bacteroidota bacterium. RNAcentral describes it as "uncultured Bacteroidetes bacterium partial 16S ribosomal RNA". Lineage: Bacteria; Pseudomonadati; Bacteroidota. The record is from RNAcentral.
GGACUACAAGGGUUUCUAAUCCUGUUUGAUCCCCACGCUUUCGUGCCUCAGCGUCAAUGCUUGUUUAGUGAGCUGCCUUCGCAAUCGGUGUUCUAUAUCAUAUCUAAGCAUUUCACCGCUACAUGAUAUAUUCCGCCCACCUCAACAAGAUUCAAGAUAAAUAGUAUCAAUGGCAGUUUCCAGGUUGAGCCUGGAGAUUUCACCACUGACUUAAAUACCCGCCUACACACCCUUUAAACCCAGUGAAUCCGGAUAACGCUUGCACCCUCCGUAUUACCGCGGCUGCUGGCAC